GACGAACGCUGGCGGCGUGCUUAACACAUGCAAGUCGAACGGCAAGGCCCUGCUUUUGUGGGGUGCUCGAGUGGCGAACGGGUGCGUAACACGUGAGUAACCUGCCCUUGACUUUGGGAUAACUUCAGGAAACUGGGGCUAAUACCGGAUAGGAGCUCCUGCUGCAUGGUGGGGGUUGGAACGUUUCGGCGGUUGGGGAUGGACUCGCGGCUUAUCAGCUUGUUGGUGGGGUAGUGGCUUACCAAGGCUUGGACGGGUAGCCGGCCUGAGAGGGUGACCGGCCACAGUGGGACUGAGAUACGGCCCAGACGGCUACGGGAGGCAGCAGUGGGGAAUAUUGCACAAUGGGCGGAAGCCGGAUGCAGCAACGCCGCGUGCGGGAUGACGGCCUUCGGGUUGUAAACCGCUUUCGCCUGUGACGAAGCGUGAGUGACGGUAAUGGGGAAAGAAGCACCGGCGAACUACGU
This 467-nucleotide ribosomal RNA is filed under the name uncultured bacterium. RNAcentral describes it as "partial 16S ribosomal RNA". It matches the Rfam family "Bacterial small subunit ribosomal RNA", at positions 28 to 506 of the family's 1533-position model. The record is from RNAcentral.